ACCGUACGGCCACUCUAACUCGCGCCCCUUAACGGGGUGGAAGACAGUGUCAGGUGGGCAGUUUGACUGGGGCGGUCGCCUCCUAAACAGUAACGGAGGCGCCCAAAGGUUCCCUCAGAAUGGUUGGAAAUCAUUCGCAGAGUGUAAAGGCAGAAGGGAGCUUGACUGCGAGACUUACAAGUCGAGCAGGGACGAAAGUCGGGCUUAGUGAUCCGGUGGUUCCGCAUGGAAGGGCCAUCGCUCAACGGAUAAAAGCUACCCUGGGGAUAACAGGCU
Molecule: ribosomal RNA, 276 nt
Filed under: Dolosigranulum pigrum
Lineage: Bacteria; Bacillati; Bacillota; Bacilli; Lactobacillales; Carnobacteriaceae
Description: partial 23S ribosomal RNA
Rfam family: Bacterial large subunit ribosomal RNA
Source: RNAcentral